This 526-nucleotide long non-coding RNA is filed under the name Anser brachyrhynchus (Pink-footed goose). RNAcentral describes it as "lncRNA (ENSABRG00000005845.1)". The record is from RNAcentral. Lineage: Eukaryota; Metazoa; Chordata; Aves; Anseriformes; Anatidae.
AAAAAAAAAAAAAAAAACUCUUCCAAAAAAGCACCGGUCUGCAGAUGUCUGCAAGAGAAUCAACAAACCCUCCUUCUUCUACGGCAGGGCAGACACAAGAGAUUUGGACUGGACUUUUGUAAAAUAAGGUUACUACACAGUUCUAGGAGACAAAUACAUGGAUACAAAUCAAGCUGGUUUACAGUGUGGAUGUUCAGUUGUGUGUUUGGAAAACUGAAUAGACCGUCAUUGAGUGUCCUCAUCUAGCCCUGCUACGAAAAGCUACUUGAAAGCUCCUUGGGAAAAAUAUACCUUAUGCUGGUGCCAUGCCUUGUUUGGCUCAACUGGGGAAAAAAAAAAAAAAAAAAAAAAAAACAACUUGCUACCUUACUAAAGCUUCUUGAAAAUCAUGUGAAAUAGUGUUUCUCCACUUGACAUUUUUGGAAAACAAGAACAAAAACAGAACAUAAUGAUGGUCUUUUUCUCCCAGGACAUUUCUCAUGUACAAUCAAAUAAAAAAAAAAAAUAUUAAAUUAAACUUGGCUUA